Molecule: long non-coding RNA, 762 nt
Organism: Oncorhynchus tshawytscha (Chinook salmon)
Lineage: Eukaryota; Metazoa; Chordata; Actinopteri; Salmoniformes; Salmonidae
Source: Ensembl
GUGUGUGGAAGAGUCCAGUCAGUGUGUGGGUAGAGUCCAGUGUGUGGAUAGAGUCCAGUUGUGUGGGUAGAGUCCAGUCAGUGUGUGGGUAGAGUCCAGUGUGUGGAUAGAGUCCAGUGUGUGGGUAGAGUCCAGUCAGUGUGGGGGUGAAGUCCAGUGUGUGGAUAGAGUCCAGUGUGUGGGUAGAGUCCAGUGUGUGGAUAGAGUCCAGUGUGUGGGUAGAGUCCAGUGUGUGGGUAGAGUCCAGUCAGUGUGUGGGUAGAGUCCAGUCAGUGUGUGGGUAGAGUCCAGUCAGUGUGUGGGUAGAGUCCAGUCAGUGUGUGGGUAGAGUCCAGUCAGUGUGUGGGUAGAGUCCAGUCAGUGUGGGGGUAAAGUCCAGUGUGUGGGUAGAGUCCAGUGUGUGGAUAGAGUCCAGUGUGUGGGUAGAGUCCAGUGUGUGGGUAGAGUCCAGUGUGUGGGUAGAGUCCAGUGUGUGGGAAGAGUCCAGUGUGUGGAUAGAGUCCCGUGUGUGGGUAGAGUCCAGUGUGUGGGUAGAGUCCAUAGUGUGGAUAGAGUCCCGUGUGUGGGUAGAGUCCAGUGUGUGGGUAGAGUCCAGUGUGUGGAUAAAGUCCAGUGUGUGGGUAGAAUCCAGUGUGUUGAUAGAUUCCAGUGUGUAUAGAGUCCAGUGUGUGGAUAGAGACCAGUGUGUGGGUAGAUUCCAGUGUGUGGAUAGAGUCCAGUGUGUGGAUAGAGUCCAGUGUGUGGAUAGAGUCCAGUGUGUGG